UACGUAGGUGGCUAGCGUUGUCCGGAUUUACUGGGCGUAAAGCGCGCGCAGGCGGUCGUUCAAGUCGAGUGUGAAAGCCCCCCGGCUCAACUGGGGAGGGUCACUCGAUACUGAUCGACUUGAAGGCAGAAGAGGGAAGCGGAAUUCCCGGUGUAGUGGUGAAAUGCGUAGAUAUCGGGAGGGAACACCAGUGGCGAAGGACGGGCCU
Molecule: ribosomal RNA, 208 nt
Filed under: uncultured bacterium
Lineage: Bacteria
Description: partial 16S ribosomal RNA
Rfam family: Bacterial small subunit ribosomal RNA
Source: RNAcentral